ACAAAAUGAAUACAAAGUAUCUCUGCAGAUACAGACACAGCCGUUCACUUCUAGUGGGUCAUAAGUGAUGAUUGAGAGGGAUUAUUUUUGUAUGAGUCUAUACAUUGCUUUUUAGGAAACUCCUACUCAUUCUCCCUUUAAGU
Molecule: long non-coding RNA, 143 nt
Organism: Sebastes umbrosus (honeycomb rockfish)
Lineage: Eukaryota; Metazoa; Chordata; Actinopteri; Perciformes; Sebastidae
Exons: 3
Source: RefSeq, a predicted model, not a curated record